Molecule: ribosomal RNA, 497 nt
Filed under: uncultured bacterium
Lineage: Bacteria
Description: partial 16S ribosomal RNA
Rfam family: Bacterial small subunit ribosomal RNA
Source: RNAcentral
GAUGAACGCUGGCGGCGUGCCUAAUACAUGCAAGUCGAGCGAACGGACGAGAAGCUUGCUUCUCUGAUGUUAGCGGCGGACGGGUGAGUAACACGUGGAUAACCUACCUAUAAGACUGGGAUAACUUCGGGAAACCGGAGCUAAUACCGGCUAAUAUUUUGAACCGCCUGGUUCAAAAGUGAAAGACGGUCUUGCUGUCACUUAUAGAUGGAUCCGCGCUGCAUUAGCUAGUUGGUAAGGUAACGGCUUACCAAGGCAACGAUGCAUAGCCGACCUGAGAGGGUGAUCGGCCACACUGGAACUGAGACACGGUCCAGACUCCUACGGGAGGCAGCAGUAGGGAAUCUUCCGCAAUGGGCGAAAGCCUGACGGAGCAACGCCGCGUGAGUGAUGAAGGUCUUCGGAUCGUAAAACUCUGUUAUUAGGGAAGAACAUAUGUGUAAGUAACUGUGCACAUCUUGACGGUACCUAAUCAGAAAGCCACGGCUAACUACGUG